This 253-nucleotide ribosomal RNA is filed under the name uncultured bacterium. Its description in RNAcentral is "partial 16S ribosomal RNA". It matches the Rfam family "Bacterial small subunit ribosomal RNA", at positions 524 to 776 of the family's 1533-position model. The record is from RNAcentral.
UACGGAGGGUGCGAGCGUUGUCCGGAAUCACUGGGCGUAAAGGGCGCGUAGGUGGCGCGGGCAGUCAACGGUGAAAGUUCGGGGCUCAACCCUGAAUCGGCCGUCGAUACUCCCGAGCUCGAGCACUGUAGGGGCAGAUGGAAUUCCGGGUGUAGCGGUGGAAUGCGUAGAGAUCCGGAAGAACACCGGUGGCGAAGGCGGUCUGCUGGGCAGUAGCUGACACUGAGGCGCGACAGCGUGGGGAGCAAACAGG